CCACUGAGUAAUGCAGGGGGCCAAUUAAAUGACUGCUAUGCGAGCUUAAAUAAGAUAAGGUUUUUGUUAUUACAAGGGUGCCUAAAGAGUGUAAUCUGAUGGGGAGUAUGGUUAAGAGUGAGGUAACUUUCCUUUGGUGUUCCUCGCGAAGUGUAGGAAGAACGGGACAGGGAUUAGAGACCCCAUUACGCUACAUGUCAAUAGAAAGCUGGGGACUACAAGUGUGCGCUUAAAACUCGAAGGACUUGGCGGCUCAGUAUGCCUAGGUAGGGGAACUUGACGCUUAAUACGAUGAUCCGCGUUUAAUCUCAUCUUUUCUGGAUUAAUCAGGUGGUGUACGGCCGUAGUAGGGUGUAAGGUAACUGGAUAAAAAUAUUCCGUUAGUGCAUAGUUGCAUUUAAUACAGGUCUUUGUGCCCCCUAUGGAAAGAGGUUAGUUGAGUUACUGAAUGGAGUAGCGGAGCUAGGUUGAAAUAGCUUAGUGAAGAAGUACUUACUAGUAGGGGGGAAUUAAAAUGUCUUGCUGAAUAGGGAACUACUGGGAGUUCAGAUCGCCCGUCGCCCUCGGGGAAACCGGAGGUAAGUCGUAACA
Molecule: ribosomal RNA, 591 nt
Filed under: Pteria penguin
Lineage: Eukaryota; Metazoa; Mollusca; Bivalvia; Pterioida; Pteriidae
Description: 12S ribosomal RNA
Rfam family: Microsporidia small subunit ribosomal RNA (bases 211-591)
Source: RNAcentral